This 491-nucleotide ribosomal RNA is filed under the name uncultured bacterium. RNAcentral describes it as "partial 16S ribosomal RNA". It matches the Rfam family "Bacterial small subunit ribosomal RNA", at positions 29 to 507 of the family's 1533-position model. The record is from RNAcentral.
AGUGAACGCUGGCGGUAGGCCUAACACAUGCAAGUCGAACGGCAGCACAGUAAGAGCUUGCUCUUACGGGUGGCGAGUGGCGGACGGGUGAGGAAUACAUCGGAAUCUACUUUUUCGUGGGGGAUAACGUAGGGAAACUUACGCUAAUACCGCAUACGACCUACGGGUGAAAGCAGGGGAUCUUCGGACCUUGCGCGAUUGAAUGAGCCGAUGUCGGAUUAGCUAGUUGGCGGGGUAAAGGCCCACCAAGGCGACGAUCCGUAGCUGGUCUGAGAGGAUGAUCAGCCACACUGAACUGAGACACGGUCCAGACUCCUACGGGAGGCAGCAGUGGGGAAUAUUGGACAAUGGGCGCAAGCCUGAUCCAGCCAUACCGCGUGGGUGAAGAAGGCCUUCGGGUUGUAAAGCCCUUUUGUUGGGAAAGAAAAGCGGCAGGUUAAUACCCCGCUGUUCUGACGGUACCCAAAGAAUAAGCACCGGCUAACUUCGUG